This 329-nucleotide unclassified non-coding RNA is filed under the name Hevea brasiliensis (rubber tree). The record is from RNAcentral. Lineage: Eukaryota; Viridiplantae; Streptophyta; Magnoliopsida; Malpighiales; Euphorbiaceae.
ACUCUAUGAGGGUCUUGAUUGGCUUUCUAACAACAUCGCCAAUAAGGCCUAAGUCGAAAUAGAGUUGUUGCGGAUUCAUCCUGGAUGCAGGCGGGUUUUUAUCUAGUUCCAUUUACUUUUAUUUCGUCUUUUUUCUUUCAGACAUUCUCUGAAUCUGUGUGGUUAUGGCAUUUGCUUCUUAGGAGGUCACUUUUGAAACGUUUUUGUAAUACAAUGGUUGAAUGUAUGUAAUUUGCUGAUUAAACUUUAUUAACUUGUAACAAAUACUAGCUCUUUUCUGGUUAUUUUGCAGUCAAUUUAAAAUGCAUAUCAAAUACCAUAAUAUAAAA